This 910-nucleotide long non-coding RNA is filed under the name Salmo salar (Atlantic salmon). Its description in RNAcentral is "lncRNA (ENSSSAG00000100837.1)". The record is from RNAcentral. Lineage: Eukaryota; Metazoa; Chordata; Actinopteri; Salmoniformes; Salmonidae.
GCUCCUCCAAGUGCAUAAACUUGUUGUAUACAUCGUCCUCCUGCCUAAGACUCAUGUCACUUGUGAAGUCUGGCUGCAGCCGGUCUUGACAGUUGUCAAUCGCCUGUUCAUUAACAGCUUGGCUGGACUCUUCUCAGUAGAGAUCGUGGGCGUAACAUGCAUGAACCUUGACAGUUGGGUCUGCCAGUCACCCACUGAGAUACUAGACAGAGCCUCCUUGGUUGUCUGAACCAUACGUUCAGCUUGGCCAUUGGAGGAAUGAUGUUAUGGGGAUGUGGUGACGAGUCUGAUUCCGUUCCGCCCAGUGAGCUCCUUAAACUCAGCAGACGUGAAGGCAGCUUGGCAUGACUCCUGACAGAUGACGCAGCUGUGCACCACCGCCUCAACUUCCAUGUCCAUCCCAGACCACCACGCAUAGCUUUGUGCCAGUGCCUUCAUCCUCACUAUUCCAGGAUGCAUAUCAUGCAGCAUGGAAACGACCCCCACUCUCGCCAGGAACCACCACCCGGUUGCCCCUCAACACAAAGUUCUUCCAACGAGACCAGUAUGGCCCAAACUGUCUGCUAGGAACCUCCCAGAGGCCCAUCCAUACAGGAUCCUUCAAGAUGGAUAACUCGGUUCAGUCAAAGUAGAGGGAUGGAGAACUUCCAGCUAGAUGGGGAGGCGCUCACCCACAUUGCCAUGAUGACCCAGGACCAUUACCCAGUGAAAUUGGGCAUCAACUGAGACCUGGGUUGCACAACUGUUCAGAUGCAGGGCUCCUGAGUGGCGCAGAGGUCUAAGGCACUACAGCUCAGUGCUAGAUGUCUCACUACAGUCCCUGGUUCAAAUCCAGGCUGUACCACAUCUGGCUGUGAUUGGGAGUACCAUAUGGCGGUGCACAAUUGGCCCAGUGUUGUCUGGGUUUGGC